Molecule: long non-coding RNA, 4673 nt
Filed under: Mus musculus (house mouse)
Lineage: Eukaryota; Metazoa; Chordata; Mammalia; Rodentia; Muridae
Description: novel transcript
Source: RNAcentral
CUUGAAUCUCAAUGCAAGUGUUGUCAUUGUCAUUUCAGGUGAGAUAAAGAUUACAGUUCUGAGGGAGAUGAAAUCACAGAGCUGUGAACCUCUAUCUCAAGGUUAAUCUCCCUCUCUCUCCCACAAUGCUGGCUGUCAUGCCAGGAUCUGCACACACAGGAGCUGAAUGUUCUGCUGAAGAAAGGAUCGAGAAUUGCAUAUAUGUCCUGGACAAAACCUGCAUUGCUCCUAAAAAUCAGUGAUGUGAUGACUGAAGAGGUUGUUCUCCAUCAUGAACUCAUAAACACAUGUUGAAGAAAAGGUGACAUUGUUAUGACAUCCCAUGGCAGACUCUUCUGCAGCAUGCUCCUAACCAUAUGCCCAACCACCUCGGCAAGCCAAGAAUUAUAGGAAUGCUACAGAUAACAGGAGCUUUUGGAUGGAAUCAGUUCUUCAAUGAUAUUGGAUGCAAUCUUAUUUUAUAUAUUCUCAGACUUGGCAGGAGUAUGUCUAUCUACACCACCUGUCUUGUGAGUGUCUUCCAGGCUAUCACCAUCAGCCCCUGGAAAUCCUAUUGGAAGGAUCUCAUAGUCAAAAUUCGAAGGCUCAUGGGUUUCUUCAUUUCACUCUGCUGGAUCCUACACAUGAUGGUGAAUAUGAUUUUUUCCUAUAUAUCCAUCCACCAAGGGAAAGACAAAAAAUAUUACACAAAAAAGAAAAUAUGAAUUCUGUUCCUCUUUUCCAGGUCGUGAUAAUAUAGUAGAAUCACUAUACAUAGCAUUUUGGGUAUUUCCAGAAGUCUUGCUUUCUGUAGUUCUGGUCAUUUCCAGCAUCACCAUGAUUGUCAUACUGUAUGGACACAAGAAAAUGGUUCAACAUAUACACAGUUCUCAUGUUUCUCCCAGAAACUCUCCUGAGUCCAGAGCCACCCAGAAAAUUCUAGUCCUGGUGUGCACAUUUCUCACUUUUUAUACACUAUCUUCCAUCUUACAAGGCUUCAUUACCUUUUCUCAGAAUCCUAGUUGGUGGCUAAUUAAUAUCACAGCUAUCAUUUCUAUGUGCUUUCCUACUGUAGGUCCCUUUAUCAUGAGCCAUGAUAUCAUUCUUUCUCGUUUCUGUUUAUCUUAGAUGAGGAAUAUAUACUUACAAUAAUCUUUUAAUAAAAGUACAAAUUAUAUCUUUUAAUAAUUCAGAGUAUCUAAGAAUUUAGUCACUAGUGUCCUUCAAAAUAUCAGUGUAAUAAUUAAAGGGGAGAUGAUUUUAAUACUAUGAUCAUUUCACAGAUUAAUAGUAGUAUAUUAUUCUUUAUAGACUAUGGUCUAUCUAGCCACAGGUUCUGAACCACAUUCACUGUGCUAGUCAUAGACUCCAUUUCAUUGAGUAUUCCUUUAAGCAUAUCAUAAUUAGUUUGGUUAUUUCUGCCAUAUUUGUGCCACUGUUGAAUAAAUGGGCCUAUCUUGCCAGGCCAAGAGUUUUUUUUAGCUCAUAGGGUUCAUGGCUGGAUGAUAUCUAUUCACUUUUUCUCCAGUAAAGAGGAUGCUACCUUCUAGCAUGAAGAAAGCUAACCAAGAUAGGUACAGCUUACAAGUCAGUACAUGUUUGAUUUCUUCAUGUUUUAUGACUCAAGGAUUUUGCAGUUACAAAAAUGUACUCAUAGUUAUUUGUGAUGGCGUGCACAAUAAACUGUGCAAGUUGAAAUCAAAUAAUAUCCUAGCACUGGAGAUAAGGAGGAGAAAAACAUGAAGUGCUAGCACUAAAUGAAAUACUGUUGGCCUUUGAUGGCAGCUGAGAAAGAGAAAGAGUUGGUUUGUUUAACAGUGUAGACACAGGUAGGCUGAGCAUAUUCAUGGUCAGCAAUACAACCAAGAGUACUUGGGCAACACAAAUUGAACUUAAUAAGUUUAAAAAUAAAAGAAUUUAAAAGUUUGAGGUAGGGAUGUGGUGGUAGUUCUGAAAGAAUUUUAGGGGGGGUGUUGAAUAUGAUGAAGAUAUAUUCUAUGAAAUUUGUAAUAACUGAUAAAAAUGUAAAAAGUUUGUGGAAAGCUACUUGUCUUUCUUUUUUUUUCCCCCUUUUUCUUUUCCAUUUUUUAUUAGGUAUUUAGGUCAUUUACAUUUCCAGUGCUAUACCAAAAGUCCCCCGUAGCCACCCACCCCCACUCCCCUACCCACCCAAUCCCCCUUUUUGGCCCUGGCGUUCCCCUGUACUGGGGCAUUAAAGUUUGCAAGUCCAAUGGGCCUCUCUUUCCAGUGAUGGCCGACUAGGCCAUCUUUUGAUACAUAUGCAGCUAGAGUCAAGAGCUCCGGGGUACUGGUUAGUUCAUAAUGUUGUUCCACCUAUAGGGUUGCAGAUCCCUUUAGCUCCUUGGGUACUUUCUCUAGCUCCUCCAUUGGGAGCCCUGUGAUCCAUCCAUUAGCUGACUGUGAGCAUCCACUUCUGUGUUUGCUAGGCCCCAGCAUAGUCUCACAAGAGACAGCUACAUCUGGGUCCUUUCGAUAAAAUCUUGCUAGUGUAUGCAAUGGUGUCAGCGUUUGGAUGCUGAUUAUGGGGUGGAUCCCUGGAUAUGGCAGUCUCUAGAUGGUCCAUCCUUUCAUCUCAGCUCCAAACUUUGUCUCUGUAACUCCUUCCAAGGGUGUUUUGUUCCCACUUCUAAGGAGGGGCAUAAUGUCCACACUUCUAAUGCAAACUCUAAAACAGUUUUGGGUUUUCACCUGGCACCUAUAGGAGCAAAAUAAAGGUUAAUGUAGCAGGGUGUUUUACUCUGAAUAACUAAGCAAUAACUUGUUCAAAGGAAUCUGAAGUAGUGUUCCUUAUGGUUAAGAAAACGUGGUAGAUCUCAAUUCCUUAAAGAAACUAAAAAACAAGAUAUCCAAGAAGAUAGGAAUGAGGAUACUGGUGUCUGUAAAUAAAACAAAUGCAAGAACACUUCAAAAAAAAAAGGAGGGGAAAGGGAGAGAGAUAAACAGAAAGAGAGACAAACAGACAGACAGACAGACAGACAAAGAGACAGAAAGACAGAGACAGAGAGAUAAUAUCUCAACACAUACUGCGUGAAGAAAUUGAAUAUAUAAAAAGAAACAGGUUCCAGGGAAACAACUCUCUGUAGAAAUUUUGAUGAUGUGGUGAACUGUUAAAUAUUAUUAUAAAGCAUUAUGUUGAGAGAUCUUCAAGGUAUGAGCCUUGCUCUUCUAAUCUGCAGUCAAAAGAGAUCAGUGAUCCUGGUGGACAUUCACCAAAAAAUUCUCCCGGCAACCUUGAACUUCCCAUAGCUGUCCUCUACAUGCUAAAAUCAUGAUGCAGAGUAGCACCUCAGCUUGUUACUCCUGCUAGAACUCUUUAGUAUAUGUGCUGCCGAAGCAAGCACACCUGCCAGAACUCUUGGUGACAUAUAGGAAGGUGCAACAAUUGAAGGUUUGCUAUUGUUUCCUAUUGUAAAGCCCAACCAACUCCAUUUUUGAAGAAACUCCAUUUUGUGUGAGACCAGGGCCUAAACUCCAAUUCUAGAAAGAAAAUCAGAGUCCUCCUGAGCAAGUAUCCUACAACAUCCCUUCUCCCACCCCCACCCACGUCGCAUUAGCAACAACCAUUGAGGUUAUAAUAGCAGGGCCAAGGUGUGUGUGUGUGUGUGUGUGUGUGUGUGUGUGUGUGUGUGUGUGUGUGUGUAAAUGCAUCCUGCAGAGAAUAGAAAACUUAACCAUCCUGUUUGUCAAGUGAUUUUUGACCCCGUGUUUGGUUCCUACAGAUUAUGCCAGAAAUGAAGUUUUUAAACUAUUAACUUACUGACCCAUAAGGAAAUUCCCCAUGUUUACUGCAACCACAAUAAAAACCCUGAACCCCUAUACUCUGGGCUCUCACUAUGAGCUGCUUCCAUGGUGAGAAUCUGAAAGGCCUUGUUCCUGAGCUCAUAAUGAAGAACCUAUGAGUUUUACAUCGGAAUAGGCUCCUCGGUGGUCUUUAGGUACCUGCAACUAGGGUAUAGCACUAUAUAAGGUUUAUGACUGACUUAAAAAGAAGAAUUGGGAUCUAUACUUAUGCCUAGAUGUAACUGGCUUAAUAUUUAUAUUACAGGUAAUAUUUAUUUGUGGUAAUGUAAGGUGGGUCUUCACUUUGUUCUUUUAUUAACCUUAAAAGCUACCCAUCUUUGUUUCCUGUCCUCAUCUUGUUUUGUAACAUUAAUUGUAAUAAAGGUUUACAACCUAUGAUGUAUCCCUACCUAUGCUGUUCUGCAUGGGUUUGACAGGUGGAGGAUCCUGCUUUUGUAGAACACAAUAAAGGAGAUUCCAAACACAGUCACAAGGUUGAAAGAGUCCCUAGAAAAAAGUAGCACAGCUGACACUGGAAAUGAUAGGAGAAAUCUAAGUAAACAUCAUGGAGCUCUGAAAGAGCUCAACAUAGCUGCCAGGGGUUAAGAGGCAGUGUUCUAUAAGUAUUGCAUGCUAACCAAUUAUGCUACUGGAGCAUCUGCAAGCUGGUAAAACCACUUUGGAACUCAAUCUGGUGGUUCCUCAGAAAAUUGAAAAUAGUUCUACUUGAAUACCCAGUUAUACCACUACUGGGCAUAUACCCAAAAGAUGCUCCAACUUAUAAUAAAGACAAAUGAUCCACUAUGUUUAUAUAAGCCUUAUGUAUAACAGACAGAAACUGGAAACAACCCAGAUUUCCCUCAACAGAAGAAUGAAUACAGAAAAUGUGAUAU